GAUGAAGAACGUAGCGAAAUGCUAUACGUAAUGUGAAUUGCAGAAUUCAGUGAAUCAUCGAGUCUUUGAACGCACAUUGCGCCCCCUGGUAUUCCGGGGGGCAUGCCUGUCCGAGCGUCAUUGCUGCCCUCAAGCACGGCUUGUGUGUUGGGCCUCCGUCCUCCUCCCGGGGGACGGGCCCGAAAGGCAGCGGCGGCACCGCGUCCGGUCCUCGAGCGUAUGGGGCUUCGUCACCCGCUCUUGUAGGCCCGGCCGGCGCUUGCCGACACAUCAAUCUUUUUUCCAGGUUGACCUCGGAUCAGGUAGGGAUACCCGCUGAACUUAAGCAUAUCAAUAAGCGGAGGA
Molecule: unclassified non-coding RNA, 345 nt
Filed under: soil metagenome
Description: partial contains 5.8S ribosomal RNA, internal transcribed spacer 2, and large subunit ribosomal RNA
Rfam family: 5.8S ribosomal RNA (bases 1-120)
Source: RNAcentral